This 497-nucleotide ribosomal RNA is filed under the name uncultured bacterium. RNAcentral describes it as "partial 16S ribosomal RNA". It matches the Rfam family "Bacterial small subunit ribosomal RNA", at positions 28 to 507 of the family's 1533-position model. The record is from RNAcentral.
GAUGAACGCUGGCGGCGUGCCUAAUACAUGCAAGUCGAGCGAACAGAUGAGGAGCUUGCUCCUCUGACGUUAGCGGCGGACGGGUGAGUAACACGUGGAUAACCUACCUAUAAGACUGGGAUAACUACGGGAAACCGGAGCUAAUACCGGAUAAUAUAUUGAACCGCAUGGUUCAAUAGUGAAAGACGGUUUUGCUGUCACUUAUAGAUGGAUCCGCGCCGCAUUAGCUAGUUGGUAAGGUAACGGCUUACCAAGGCAACGAUGCGUAGCCGACCUGAGAGGGUGAUCGGCCACACUGGAACGGAGACACGGUCCAGACUCCUACGGGAGGCAGCAGUAGGGAAUCUUCCGCAAUGGGCGAAAGCCUGACGGAGCAACGCCGCGUGAGUGAUAAAGGUCUUCGGAUCGUAAAACUCUGUUAUUAGGGAAGAACAAAUGUGUAAGUAACUAUGCACGUCUUGACGGUACCUAAUCAGAAAGCCACGGCUAACUACGUG